This 520-nucleotide ribosomal RNA is filed under the name uncultured bacterium. RNAcentral's name for it is "bacterial SSU rRNA". It matches the Rfam family "Bacterial small subunit ribosomal RNA", at positions 10 to 518 of the family's 1533-position model. The record is from RNAcentral.
AGUUUGAUCCUGGCUUAGGAUGAACGCUAGCUACAGGCUUAACACAUGCAAGUCGAGGGGCAGCAUGAAGUUUGCUUGCAAACUUGAUGGCGACCGGCGCACGGGUGAGUAACGCGUAUCCAACCUUCCCCUUAGUAGAGGAUAGCCCGGCGAAAGUCGGAUUAAUACUCUAUGUUGUGUUUUUGAGGACAUCUGACGAACACCAAAGGUUCACCGCUAAGGGAUGGGGAUGCGUCUGAUUAGCUUGUUGGCGGGGUAACGGCCCACCAAGGCGACGAUCAGUAGGGGUUCUGAGAGGAAGGUCCCCCACAUUGGUACCGAGACACGGACCAAACUCCUACGGGAGGCAGCAGUGAGGAAUAUUGGUCAAUGGGCGAGAGCCUGAACCAGCCAAGUAGCGUGCCAGGAAGACUGCCCUAUGGGUUGUAAACUGCUUUUAUCAGGGAAUAAAGUUCGGCACGUGUGCUGUUUUGUAUGUACCUGAUGAAUAAGGACCGGCUAAUUCCGUGCCAGCCGCCGC